GAGGAACUGAGGUACUGAGGUACUGAGGUACUGAGGUACUGAGGAACUGAGGUACUGAGGUACUGAGGUAUUGAGGUACUGAGGAACUGAGGUACUGAGGUGCUGAGGUACUGAGGUACUGAGGUGCUGAGGUAUUGAGGUACUGAGGUACUGAGGCACUGAGGUGCUGAGGUACUGAGGUGAAUCCAGAUGUUCUUGAAUGAUGAUGUCUUCUGUAGGAUGGAAAUAGGCUGUAAUGAGUAGCAUACUAGAAACUAGACAUUUGUUUUACACAUUUAACUUAACAGUAAAUGGCAGUCAGUUGAAUGUUUUUAAUUGCUCUUUUGUAUCAUUUCUUUUUUUAAGGCAACUGAAUAUUGACACAACACUAUUCAACAUGACACAAAAUCCACACACUAACCCUGGCAAACCUUGGGCUCGAUUCAAUCCGUACAGCGGAAGUUUAGACCUAUA
This is a long non-coding RNA of Oncorhynchus tshawytscha (Chinook salmon), 453 nucleotides long. The record is from Ensembl. NCBI's taxonomy places the organism in Eukaryota, Metazoa, Chordata, Actinopteri, Salmoniformes, Salmonidae.